RNAcentral lists this ribosomal RNA (468 nucleotides) under uncultured bacterium. RNAcentral's name for it is "partial 16S ribosomal RNA". It matches the Rfam family "Bacterial small subunit ribosomal RNA", at positions 28 to 507 of the family's 1533-position model. The record is from RNAcentral.
GACGAACGCUGCCGGCGUGCUUAACACAUGCAAGUCGAACGGAAAGGCCCUGCUUUUGUGGGGUGCUCGAGUGGCUAACGGGCGAGUAACACGUGAGUAACCUGCCCUUGACUUUGGGAUAACUUCAGGAAAAUGGGGCUAAUACCGGAUCGGAGCUCCUGCUGCAUGGAGGGGGUUGGAAAGUUUCGGCGGUUGGGGAUGGACUCGCGGCUUAUCAGCUUGUUGGUGGGGUAGUGGCUUACCAAGGCUUUGACGGGUAGCCGGCCUGAGAGGGUGACCGGCCACAUUGGGACUGAGAUACGGCCCAGACUCCUACGGGAGGCAGCAGUGGAGAAUAUUGCACAAUGGGCGGAAGCCUGAUGCAGCAACGCCGCGUGCGGGAUGACGGCCUUCGGGUUGUAAACCGCUUUCGCCUGUGACGAAGCGUGAGUGACGGUAAUGGGUAAAGAAGCACCGGCUAGCUACGUG